Molecule: long non-coding RNA, 724 nt
Organism: Leopardus geoffroyi (Geoffroy's cat)
Lineage: Eukaryota; Metazoa; Chordata; Mammalia; Carnivora; Felidae
Exons: 2
Source: RefSeq, a predicted model, not a curated record
AAAUGGGCAUGUUACCCUGAAGGCAGAGCUGGAAGAAGAGGCAUGUCUCUUCCAAGAAGAGACAUUUGUGAACCUUGAUACAGAAGAGGCCUGCAUGCAGAUUAGGCAGCAGAUUCAAUUGGGGGCUGUCACCAAUUUGAGCUGCUGCCUCAGACUCAGGCAGAAGACCCUGCUGGCCCAGCAUCCCCUGCCGGAAGCCGCAAGUACCCCCCUCAAGCAAUAAGGACCGUCCCGCGCUAGCAAGAUCCCACCCACGACGAGGACAGCCUGACCUCCCCUGCGCACCUGCACGUGCCCACCCGCCUCGGUCCCACCUUGUCCUUAUAGAAGCCUGGAAGCAUUUUCGGCACCUUGGAGACAGUCUUUGAAACCCCGGUCCGCGUCUUCCUGGCAUCGGCCUCGCUGAAAUAAAUUCCCUUCUUGCUUCUCCUCCACCCGUAUCUCUGCCUUUGGAUGCUGCAGGCUGUCAGUGGCCCAGCCUGGCCUGUGUGGGGCCCCCGGGGCCCUUGGCCGCUGCGCCCCGGCUGCGCUGUGCAGCAGGUGAGCCCCAAACUGAGAAACGUGCCCUGGUGUACGUGUAGGAGCUCUGACUUCUGCCCAGGACAGCUUCACACCCUUCCGCUGCACGCGCUCGGUCGCUGGCCUCCCCACCGCCCUUCCCCAGCCUCCCAGCCCCCACAGCACUCAUCCUAAUAAAGUUCGAGCAGCAACUCUGGCACUUGCA